AGAGUUUGAUCCUGGCUCAGGACGAACGCUGGCGGCGUGCCUAACACAUGCAAGUCGAGCGGAGACAGUGAGUAGCUUGCUAUGAACUGUUUUAGCGGCGGACGGGUGAGUAACGCGUGAGCAACCUUUCCCAGACAGGGGAAUAACACACCGAAAGGUGUACUAAUACCGCAUAAGACCACGGGAUCACAUGGUUCUGGGGUAAAAGAAUUAUCGGUUUGGGGUGGGCUCGCGUCCGAUUAGGUAGUUGGUGAGGUAACGGCCCACCAAGCCGACGAUCGGUAGCCGACCUGAGAGGGUGAUCGGCCACAUUGGGACUGAGACACGGCCCAAACUCCUACGGGAGGCAGCAGUGGGGAAUAUUGGGCAAUGGAGGAAACUCUGACCCAGCAACGCCGCGUGGAGGAAGAAGGUUUUCGGAUCGUAAACUCCUGUCCUUGGAGACGAGUAGAAGACGGUAUCCAAGGAGGAAGCCCCGGCUAACUACGUGCCAGCAGCCGCGGUAAUACGUAGGGGGCAAGCGUUGUCCGGAAUAAUUGGGCGUAAAGGGCGCGUAGGCGGCUCGGUAAGUCUGGAGUGAAAGUCCUGCUUUUAAGGUGGGAAUUGCUUUGGAUACUGUCGGGCUUGAGUGCAGGAGAGGUUAGUGGAAUUCCCAGUGUAGCGGUGAAAUGCGUAGAGAUUGGGAGGAACACCAGUGGCGAAGGCGACUAACUGGACUGUAACUGACGCUGAGGCGCGAAAGUGUGGGGAGCAAACAGGAUUAGAUACCCUGGUAGUCCACACUGUAAACGAUGAAUGCUAGGUGUAGGGGGUAUCGACCCCUUCUGUGCCGCAGUCAACACAAUAAGCAUUCCGCCUGGGGAGUACGGCCGCAAGGUUGAAACUCAAAGGAAUUGACGGGGGCCCGCACAAGCAGCGGAGCAUGUGGUUUAAUUCGACGCAACGCGAAGAACCUUACCAGGUCUUGACAUCCACUUAAACUUACAGAGAUGUAAGGUGUGCUUGCACAAAGUGAGACAGGUGGUGCAUGGUUGUCGUCAGCUCGUGUCGUGAGAUGUUGGGUUAAGUCCCGCAACGAGCGCAACCCUUAUCUUCAGUUACUAACGCGUAGAGG
RNAcentral lists this ribosomal RNA (1114 nucleotides) under gut metagenome. RNAcentral's name for it is "bacterial SSU rRNA". It matches the Rfam family "Bacterial small subunit ribosomal RNA", at positions 8 to 1131 of the family's 1533-position model. The record is from RNAcentral.